CAAAGGAUAGGGCAGCACACACAAAAUAUUCCCCCAAAUAAUAAUAGCUAACAUUUCUGCAAGUCUAAACUCAUUUAUUUAUUCGGAAAAUAUUCUCUGAGGACUUCUUUUGACGUACUAGGUGGCUGUGUCACAGGACCUCUGCGCUGGAAGACGCCCUUCUGGACCCCAGAGUUUAGAAUACCUCGGCCUCCCAGAGUUCUGUGCGGCAGGACCCUCUUUGAGCCAGGAGAUCCUCUGUCAUUUCCGCCGAUCACCUCCAGCUCCCCCUGCUCGUGAACCUAUGCUCACAGCUAAGACUUUGCCUUGAGUCUCAGGAGAUUUUGGACUUGGAC
This is a long non-coding RNA of Heterocephalus glaber (naked mole-rat), 335 nucleotides long. NCBI's taxonomy places the organism in Eukaryota, Metazoa, Chordata, Mammalia, Rodentia, Bathyergidae. The record is from Ensembl.